AGGUUGGCUCAGAAGCAGCCAUCCUUUAAAGAGUGCGUAACAGCUCACUAGUCGAAUGACUCUGCGCCGAUAAUUUACCGGGGCUAAGCAUACUACCGAAGCUAUGGAUCCCAAGGGAUGGUAGGGGAGCGUUCCAUGAACGGAGAAGUACGACCGAAAGGACGUGUGGAGAUCAUGGAAGAGAGAAUGCCGGUGUGAGUAGCGGAACGUGGGUGAGAAUCCCACGCACCGAAAACCCAAGGUUUCCAGAGGAAGGUUCGUCCGCUCUGGGUAAGUCGGGACCUAAGGCGAGGCCGAAAGGCGUAGUCGAUGGACAACAGGUAGAGAUUCCUGUACCCGUAUAUAUGUGAAGGAAUGACGGAGAGAGGAAGCUGCAGCCAGCGGCUGGAAGAGCUGGUGCAAGCGAGAUAUCGGGAUGGCAGGCAAAUCCACCAUCCGAAACGAGAAGGCGUGAAGCGUACGGAAAGCUACGGCGAGUACGGAAGGCAGUGGAGGAACUUCCAAGAAAAGUUUCUAACGUAAAGUAUAUAUGGCCCGUACCGAAAAUGGACACACAUGGGUGAGGAGAGAAUCCUAAGGUGAGCGAGAGAACUAUAGCUAAGGAACUCUGCAAAAUGACUCCGUAACUUAGGGAGAAGGAGUGCUCAUAGAGAUAUGAGCCGCAGUGAAACGGCCCAAGCGACUGUUUACCAAAAACACAGCUCUCUGCUAAGUCGAAAGACGACGUAUAUGGGGUGACGCCUGCCCGGUGCUGGAAGGUUAAGGGGAUGUGUCAGCGCAAGCGAAGCAUUGAAUUGAAGCCCCAGUAAACGGCGGCCGUAACUAUAACGGUCCUAAGGUAGCGAAAUUCCUUGUCAGGUAAGUUCUGACCCGCACGAAAGGCGUAACGAUUUGGGCGCUGUCUCAGCUGUAGACUCGGUGAAGUCUUAGUACCUGUGAAGAUGCAGGUUACCCGCGACUAGACGGAAAGACCCCAUGGAGCUUCACUGCAGGUUGAUAUUGGGAUUUGAUGCAGCAUGUACAGGAUAGGUAGGAGGCAAAGAGAUGGAUACGCCAGUAUUCAAGGAGCCGCUGUUGGGAUACUACCCCUGUUGUAUUGGAUUUCUAACCGGACGACGUAGAGCCGUUGACGGGACAGUGUCAGUCGGGCAGUUUGACUGGGGCGGUCGCCUCCCAAAGAGUAACGGAGGCGCCCAAAGAUACCCUCAGCUUGGAUGGAAACCAAGCGCAGAGUGCAAAGGCAAAAGGGUGUUUGACUGCGAGACCCACAAGUCGAGCAGGGACGAAAGUCGGGCUUAGUGAUCCGGCGGUGCUGAAUGGAAAGGCCGUCGCUCAACGGAUAAAAGCUACCCUGGGGAUAACAGGCUGAUCUCCCCCAAGAGUCCACAUCGACGGGGAGGUUUGGCACCUCGAUGUCGGCUCAUCGCAUCCUGGAGCUGUAGUCGGUUCCAAGGGUUGGGCUGUUCGCCCAUUAAAGCGGUACGCGAGCUGGGUUCAGAACGUCGUGAGACAGUUCGGUCCCUAUCUGUCGUGGGCGCAGGAAAUUUGAGAAGAGCUGUCCUCAGUACGAGAGGACCGGGAUGGACGCAUCAAUGGUGGACCAGUUGUCACGCCAGUGGCAUAGCUGGGUAGCUAAAUGCGGAAGGGAUAAACGCUGAAGGCAUCUAAGUGUGAAACCCACUUCAAGAUGAGAUUUCCCAUUGCGCAAGCAAGUAAGACCCCUUAAAGACGAUAAGGUAGAUAGGUCAGGAGUGUAAGCAUGGUGACAUGUUAAGCGGACUGAUACUAAUAGGUCGAGGGCUUGACCGA
This 1809-nucleotide ribosomal RNA is filed under the name human gut metagenome. Its description in RNAcentral is "bacterial LSU rRNA". It matches the Rfam family "Bacterial large subunit ribosomal RNA", at positions 1098 to 2925 of the family's 2925-position model. The record is from RNAcentral.